Molecule: ribosomal RNA, 304 nt
Filed under: uncultured bacterium
Lineage: Bacteria
Description: partial 16S ribosomal RNA
Rfam family: Bacterial small subunit ribosomal RNA
Source: RNAcentral
CAGCAGUAGCCACGGGAAUACGUAGGUGGCAGGCGUUGUCCGGAAUUAUUGGGCGUAAAGGGCUCGCAGGCGGUUUCUUAAGUCUGAUGUGAAAGCCCCCGGCUCAACCGGGGAGGGUCAUUGGAAACUGGGAAACUUGAGUGCAGAAGAGGAGAGUGGAAUUCCACGUGUAGCGGUGAAAUGCGUAGAGAUGUGGAGGAACACCAGUGGCGAAGGCGACUCUCUGGUCUGUAACUGACGCUGAGGAGCGAAAGCGUGGGGAGCGAACAGGAUUAGAGACCCCAGUAGUCCCUGUCUCUUAUAC